UGAGGAAUAUUGGUCAAUGGGCGCAAGCCUGAACCAGCCAUCCCGCGUGCAGGAUGACGGCCCUAUGGGUUGUAAACUGCUUUUAUACAGGAAGAAAAAUCCCUACGUGUAGGGACUUGCCGGUACUGUAUGAAUAAGCAUCGGCUAACUCCGUGCCAGCAGCCGCGGUAAUACGGAGGAUGCAAGCGUUAUCCGGAUUCAUUGGGUUUAAAGGGUGCGUAGGCGGCUUUUUAAGUCAGUGGUGAAAUCCUGUCGCUCAACGAUAGAAUUGCCAUUGAUACUGAAAAGCUUGAGUUCAGUUGAGGUAAGCGGAAUGUGUAGUGUAGCGGUGAAAUGCUUAGAUAUUACACAGAACACCGAUUGCAAGGCAGCUUACUAAACUGACACUGACGCUAGAUGC
RNAcentral lists this ribosomal RNA (400 nucleotides) under uncultured bacterium. RNAcentral's name for it is "bacterial SSU rRNA". It matches the Rfam family "Bacterial small subunit ribosomal RNA", at positions 355 to 752 of the family's 1533-position model. The record is from RNAcentral.